RNAcentral lists this ribosomal RNA (495 nucleotides) under Triticum aestivum (bread wheat). RNAcentral describes it as "partial small subunit ribosomal RNA". Lineage: Eukaryota; Viridiplantae; Streptophyta; Magnoliopsida; Poales; Poaceae. The record is from RNAcentral.
AUGCAGGGGGAACCGAGCGAGGACUUGGCACAGCGACAGGACGUAGGACUUGGGCGGUGGAGCUCCACACGACGACCGGAUGGGGACUUGACGGCGGGAUCCGACGAGGAGGCGUCGGAGAUGGUUGGAUCUGGCCAGAGGCGGACGUUGGUGGCUUCCGCGAGCGGCGGCCGUUCCUGCAGAGAUGAACUACAGAGAGAGAGGGAGAUCAUGAGAGAGAUCGAAGGGGAAGGAGAGGUGCAGCCUGGUGGCGGCCACCGACGGCAGGGCUCGCCGGAGCUGCUGCUUGCGGGGGUGCUCGGGGCAGGGCUGCAUGGGCUCAGGAAGCAGGGGCGGGGUGGAUCGAGGAAGGCAGGUGGCGACUGGGGGGUGCUGAAAUCUAUGGAGGUGGAUCUUGAGGAAGACAAGAUGAGUGGAUCUAGUUGGUGGCUGAGGAAAACGAGGAGGAUGCGGCGGCGGCCGAGGGAAUGGAUGGGACAAACCCCUAAAAUCUAG